CUGUUGUAAAAAUAAGACAGUAUUUCUAAAAUUGGAGCGAUACAGUAGAUUGGCGAGGCCCCUGCGCGGGGACGGCACGCAAAAAGAAGAGGGUAUUUGU
Molecule: small nuclear RNA, 100 nt
Filed under: Panthera tigris altaica (Amur tiger)
Lineage: Eukaryota; Metazoa; Chordata; Mammalia; Carnivora; Felidae
Source: RNAcentral